AACAAUAUAUUACAAGUUGACAACAAUAACAAACCGAGCCUGAGUUUGAAGUCCACACAUGCAUACAUAUGCAACAAGAAUUCACAAACGAAAAAACCAUGAGUUUAAAGUUCAGACAUGCAUACAUAUCCAACGAAGGUUCAAAACAACAUGCGUCCGUAUGCAACAAGAAUUCACAAACGACAGCAUGAGUUCCAAGUUCACACCAAGCAUGAACCUAAAAGAUGCAAUGAGCUUCCACCGCAGCAUGUAUGCCCACCGUCGACGGCAUCUGCAAUGUAAACCUACAAAUCCAUUACCACACGCAUGAGUUUCCAAAGUUAAGUUGCAAAAAGGCACAAGAGUCAACAAGCAUCAACAUAUAAGAACUAACACACAUACUAGAAGAUUCACAACAAGUUCUAUCUUGAAGCCCUCAAUCUAGCAGACAAAAAUAUACAAUGCAUAGAUUUCACAUGUUUCCCAGAGCUUGAGGUCAUUUAAUAUAGAACUAUCAUAAGCUGCCCCGAUCAUGGAGAGGAACUGAGUAACAAAUGACCAGGCUGCCAUCACCACACAAAAAUAUGUAUUAUCAGAUUUUGGUGGUUACAAAAAUAAGCCAUCACAAAUUUAUGAAAAGGACUAGCACAUCAAUUUGGAUAUAUGUUAUGUAACUAGGUCUGAGGCAUCCAAUACAUGGACUAUAAUCAGCAUGUACAACAGCAAGCGGUAGGGUAUAAAAUUUCUACCUGUACUAAACAUACACUAGACAUCCAGCUUCCGUUCCCAGCAACUAAAGUCUCAAAAUGUACAGUUUCAUCAAAUACUAGCAGUGCAAACUCAC
This 823-nucleotide long non-coding RNA is filed under the name Triticum aestivum (bread wheat). Its description in RNAcentral is "long non-coding RNA (TAES_LNC011081)". The record is from RNAcentral. Lineage: Eukaryota; Viridiplantae; Streptophyta; Magnoliopsida; Poales; Poaceae.